Molecule: non-coding RNA, 59 nt
Filed under: uncultured Paraprevotella sp.
Lineage: Bacteria; Pseudomonadati; Bacteroidota; Bacteroidia; Bacteroidales; Prevotellaceae
Description: L13-Bacteroidia ribosomal protein leader
Rfam family: L13-Bacteroidia ribosomal protein leader
Source: RNAcentral
GUCUUAAAACCUGUGUGUUAAUAGUCUUUCCUUUGGCCUGAAAAGACGGUUAGUGAAUC